RNAcentral lists this ribosomal RNA (400 nucleotides) under uncultured bacterium. Its description in RNAcentral is "bacterial SSU rRNA". It matches the Rfam family "Bacterial small subunit ribosomal RNA", at positions 361 to 776 of the family's 1533-position model. The record is from RNAcentral.
AUCUUUCACAAUGGGCGAAAGCCUGAUGGAGCAACGCCGCGUGCAGGAUGAAGGCCUUCGGGUUGUAAACUGCUUUUAUAAGCGAGAAAUAUGAUGGUAACUUAUGAAUAAGGAUCGGCUAACUACGUGCCAGCAGCCGCGGUCAUACGUAGGAUCCGAGCAUUAUCCGGAGUGACUGGGUGUAAAGAGUUGCGUAGGUGGCAUAAUAAGUAGCUAGUGAAAUCUGGUGGCUCAACCAUUCAGACUAUUAGCUAAACUGUUAAGCUCGAGACCGUUAGGGGUAACUGGAAUUUCUAGUGUAGGAGUGAAAUCCGUAGAUAUUAGAAGGAACACCAAUAGCGUAGGCAGGUUGCUGGGACGGUUCUGACACUAAGGCACGAAAGCGUAGGGAGCAAACGGG